This 272-nucleotide ribosomal RNA is filed under the name uncultured bacterium. RNAcentral's name for it is "partial 16S ribosomal RNA". It matches the Rfam family "Bacterial small subunit ribosomal RNA", at positions 83 to 354 of the family's 1533-position model. The record is from RNAcentral.
CUCCGCCGGCGACCGGCGCACGGGUGAGUAACACGUAUGCAACCUGCCCCUGUCAGGGGGACAACCCGCCGAAAGGCGGGCUGAACCCGCGUACAUGCCACCGGGGCAUCCCGGAGGCAGGAAAGGCUUCGGCCGGACAGGGAUGGGCAUGCGGCGCAUUAGGCAGUAGGCGGGGUAACGGCCCACCUAACCGACGAUGCGUAGGGGUUCUGAGAGGAAGGUCCCCCACACUGGUACUGAGACACGGACCAGACUCCUACGGGAGGCAGCAG